ACUAACUCCCCUGAACGAGUUGCGAUGGGAGCACCUUAGUCAUUUUCUCGCCCGCUUAAUAUUAGGAGGUAUGCGUA
Molecule: small RNA, 77 nt
Filed under: Sinorhizobium meliloti 2011
Lineage: Bacteria; Pseudomonadati; Pseudomonadota; Alphaproteobacteria; Hyphomicrobiales; Rhizobiaceae
Description: putative ncRNA
Source: RNAcentral